This is a long non-coding RNA of Pristis pectinata (smalltooth sawfish), 150 nucleotides long. RefSeq lists it as uncharacterized. The transcript is spliced from 3 exons. Lineage: Eukaryota; Metazoa; Chordata; Chondrichthyes; Rhinopristiformes; Pristidae. The record is from RefSeq and is a predicted model, not a curated record.
GAGACCUUACCUCAAUACCUCAGAGGGCAAAGCUCCAAAGCUUUAAAUGCUGCCUGUAACGGGAUGUGUGAUCUAGAAAGAGGUUGUGAGUCACGCUGUACAUAGGUGUGCGCAUGUGUGAAGAUUAUGGAGAUAGUGUGGAUAACUGGA